RNAcentral lists this ribosomal RNA (558 nucleotides) under uncultured bacterium. Its description in RNAcentral is "bacterial SSU rRNA". It matches the Rfam family "Bacterial small subunit ribosomal RNA", at positions 342 to 916 of the family's 1533-position model. The record is from RNAcentral.
CGGGAGGCAGCAGUCGGGAAUAUUGCGCAAUGGAGGAAACUCUGACGCAGUGACGCCGCGUAUAGGAUGAAGGUCUUCGGAUUGUAAACUAUUGUCGUUAGGGAAGAGAAAGGACAGUACCUAAGGAGGAAGCUCCGGCUAACUACGUGCCAGCAGCCGCGGUAAUACGUAGGGAGCAAGCGUUAUCCGGAUUUAUUGGGUGUAAAGGGUGCGUAGACGGGAAAUUAAGUUAGUUGUGAAAUCCCCAGGCUUAACUUGGGAACUGCAACUAAAACUGGUUUUCUUGAGUGCUGGAGAGGAAAGCGGAAUUCCUAGUGUAGCGGUGAAAUGCGUAGAUAUUAGGAGGAACACCAGUGGCGAAGGCGGCUUUCUGGACAGUAACUGACGUUGAGGCACGAAAGUGUGGGGAGCAAACAGGAUUAGAUACCCUGGUAGUCCACACCGUAAACGAUGAAUACUAGGUGUAGGGUAUGUCAUGUACUCUGUGCCGUCGCAAACGCAAUAAGUAUUCCACCUGGGGAGUACGGCCGCAAGGUUGAAACUCAAAGGAAUUGACGG